GUCAUUCAUGGUAUCCCCAAUCCUCAUCUUUGUCACUUCUUUCUCCAGAUCACAAGUAGUUUCAGUAUACUAAAUACCAACUUUAGCUUCCUUAACUAGAUUCUCUUUGAUAGAAGCUAAUUGUGAAGCUUUAAUCUCAUCUUUCUCUUUUUUUUUUGUCUUCAAUUUUCUGUUGUAGCUCGUCCAUUUGUUGCGUCAAACUCAGAAUGCUUGCAUCACAAGUGGCCAGUCGAUUCUUGUCUUUUU
This 246-nucleotide long non-coding RNA is filed under the name Lathyrus oleraceus (garden pea). RNAcentral describes it as "Pisum sativum (pea) long non-coding RNA (PSAT_LNC013061)". The record is from RNAcentral. Lineage: Eukaryota; Viridiplantae; Streptophyta; Magnoliopsida; Fabales; Fabaceae.